GAGGAGAUAACGAGUGUACUCGGCAGCAUGCUGUACAUCGACCGCGAGCCUCUGGUAUCCUUACUCAUGGAAUGCUUGUCCCCAGGGACCAGACUAGGAACACACUCCAGAACAGGGAGGAUCGACAGACUCGGGGCGGGGACAGACCACCACCAGGGGGAGCAACCAGUCUUUCUCUACGCGAGUCCCUCAGAGUGCCUCAUCCGAUAAUCUGGCGUUCAAAGAGCUGCUGCAAAACCACGAGAAACUGCAGCAACAGUUGAAUGAGGAGUCAAGGAAGCACGAGGAACAAAUGAGACACAACACCGUGGUGAUGAUGGAGAUGCAGGACACGAUCAACGAGUUACAGCGGGAGUUAACUGCCCUUGGUAAAGCAAGACCUCCCUCUGAAGGAGUGGGGCAACAGAUUGAAGUCAGUUCAUGGAGCAUCUUCCUAUGAUUGAGGUCAGUUCAUCGAGGUCAUCUGCAUUACUGAAUGAAUCUUUCGAUCGAAAUUCUCACGCGUGAGACAAAAUGUGCAUUCUUGAAUUAACAGGUCGAACUGUAUUUUAUUUAUGUUUGCAUCUCUUAAGGUAAAUGAAUUUAAAUAAAACUGAGUAAAAUGUUACAUAACUACUAAACCAAACUUCAAGUUUUUAUUAAAACUACUUAUGCAAGCGGAAUGUGUGCGCACGUGGAAGCAUUUGCCGGAUGCCUCAUAUGG
Long non-coding RNA from Magallana angulata, 703 nucleotides. RefSeq lists it as uncharacterized. The record is from RefSeq and is a predicted model, not a curated record. Lineage: Eukaryota; Metazoa; Mollusca; Bivalvia; Ostreida; Ostreidae. The transcript has 3 exons.